CCUACGGGCGGCAGCAGUGGGGAAUAUUGGACAAUGGGGGGAACCCUGAUCCAGCCAUGCCGCGUGUGUGAAGAAGGCCCUCGGGUUGUAAAGCACUUUCAGUGAGGAAGAACGCCUGGUGGUUAAUACCCAUCAGGAAAGACAUCACUCACAGAAGAAGCACCGGCUAACUCCGUGCCAGCAGCCGCGGUAAUACGGAGGGUGCGAGCGUUAAUCGGAAUUACUGGGCGUAAAGCGCGCGUAGGUGGCUUGAUAAGCCGGUUGUGAAAGCCCCGGGCUCAACCUGGGAACGGCAUCCGGAACUGUCAAGCUAGAGUGCAGGAGAGGAAGGUAGAAUUCCCGGUGUUGCGGUGAAAUGAGUAGAGAUCGGGAGGAAUACCAGUGGCGAAGGCGGCCUUCUGGACUGACACUGACACUGAGGUGCGAGAGCGUGGGUAGCAAACAGGAUUAGAUACACUAGUAGUA
This 465-nucleotide ribosomal RNA is filed under the name Vreelandella stevensii. RNAcentral describes it as "partial 16S ribosomal RNA". It matches the Rfam family "Bacterial small subunit ribosomal RNA", at positions 338 to 795 of the family's 1533-position model. The record is from RNAcentral. Lineage: Bacteria; Pseudomonadati; Pseudomonadota; Gammaproteobacteria; Oceanospirillales; Halomonadaceae.